UUCACGGCUUCGUGGGCCAGCCUGUACUAAUGUCUGUUCUCUAGUUAUGAAUCUCAGCUGCAUUGAAUUCCAAUAAUUUAACAUCAAAGCUUUUUUGGGAGUGGUGAUAUCUGUCCCUUCUAGAUGUAAAAAGAAUCAACUGAAGCUACAAGCAUAUUCCACAGGAAACCUAGAAGGUCAUCUUUUGAUUUAAUAAUCAGAUUUAGUUUUUCGUUCUGCAGCCCAGCAGCGAGAGAAAAUACUUGCAGAGGGUGUGGAACAUAAGACAAAUGAAACCUGGUUCUACAUGCUACAAGAAAGGGCUUGCUUGACACAUAAUCAUCUCAAGUUCUUAUUUAUAUUUAUGAGCUUUCAUAAGCACUUAUUUGGAACAUCCCAGCUGUAAAUCAAUUCAUUAGAAGUUAAAUUCCAUGGGUGGAAGCAAUUUUUUUUUGCAUCAGAAACACUGUGCUGUGUACCUUAUGGGUGCAGUAGAAAGUUUUUCGCCUAUUCCUAGCUGGGGACACUGUUUUUCAAACUGUGUUUGCUCAGCUCCUUAUAAACAAUGUCCACGCAGCCAGACCUGACUGGGGUGUAUUAAAUAACUACACUGGCAGUAAUCACUCUUGAUAGUGACCCUACUUGGACAGCAAGCAACAUCAGGAGACUUCUUCAAAAAUGAAGAAUUUUCAGGACUGCUGUGCUGAUGACAACAUUUAACUCUGGUCAGGAAACUUCUCAAUAUACAUUAUCUGCAAAUGGGUCGGUUUCUGCAGCCCUGCUUCCCUCUCCACCACCCCGGUCGGCUGUUUCCUGUUACUCUUCAUGGAAAUUGAAGCUGGGCCUAAAAGACCUUGGAGGCUUGUAUCUUCUCUUCACAUGAGUGAAGCUUCAGCGAUAAACUUGAACUUAAACUUACCGAGGCGUAACUGAGGGUUCAUUUGAUAGCUAGUGGUUUUCAGCCCCACCGCACGGCUUUGCAGGCUCAACGUGAGCGAGAUUGU
Crotalus tigris (Tiger rattlesnake) is the source of this 983-nucleotide long non-coding RNA. RefSeq lists it as uncharacterized. The transcript is spliced from 3 exons. NCBI's taxonomy places the organism in Eukaryota, Metazoa, Chordata, Lepidosauria, Squamata, Viperidae. The record is from RefSeq and is a predicted model, not a curated record.